This 253-nucleotide ribosomal RNA is filed under the name uncultured bacterium. Its description in RNAcentral is "partial 16S ribosomal RNA". It matches the Rfam family "Bacterial small subunit ribosomal RNA", at positions 524 to 776 of the family's 1533-position model. The record is from RNAcentral.
UACGUAGGGGGCAAGCGUUGUCCGGAAUCAUUGGGCGUAAAGAGUGUGUAGGCGGCCAGAAAAGUCCGCUGUGAAAACUCGAGGCUCAACUUCGAGCUGUCGGUGGAAACUUUCUGGCUAGAGUCCGGAAGAGGAGAAUGGAAUUCCUGGUGUAGCGGUGAAAUGCGCAGAUAUCAGGAAGAACACCCGUGGCGAAGGCGGUUCUCUGGGACGGUACUGACGCUGAGACGCGAAAGCGUGGGGAGCGAACAGG